AAAUAAUAAGUUAAAUUAAACACCUAAACUUGAGGAUCGAUAUGCCUUUAGAUAAAAUCAUAACUCACUAAUUAUACUAACUGUUUUUUUAAAAAUCUGAUUAAGGCACCAUCCCGUUUAAACUCGCAAAUGAAAAUUUGGGGACAAAAACUUCAAGAGGAGGGAAGAUUCCGACACGAGAAAAAUUUUCCUAAGUGACAGAAAUUCCCUAACAAAAGUAGGUGUCUUCCUAGUGAGAGAAAAAUCUCUCCUAACAAAAAUUUCCAAAAUAAAGAGGUGACUAAUUUCAAUUCCUUAAUGUCCAAUUU
Molecule: long non-coding RNA, 308 nt
Filed under: Carica papaya (papaya)
Lineage: Eukaryota; Viridiplantae; Streptophyta; Magnoliopsida; Brassicales; Caricaceae
Description: long non-coding RNA (CPAP_LNC009159)
Source: RNAcentral